This 830-nucleotide long non-coding RNA is filed under the name Ananas comosus (pineapple). Its description in RNAcentral is "long non-coding RNA (ACOM_LNC018851)". The record is from RNAcentral. Lineage: Eukaryota; Viridiplantae; Streptophyta; Magnoliopsida; Poales; Bromeliaceae.
UUUUAUAUACUGCUAAUACAAUUGAGAAAAACUCAAUUAUCUAUUAAACUAUAUGAAUUCUCAAUGUUUGUUGCCACAUGGCAAGUUUUUCUUCACUCUCACUAACAUGUGACUCUUCUUCUUUCCAUUACUAAAUUUUCAAUAUGCAUUUUAACGGUCCCAUUAACCAAACUUUUAAUUAGUGUAUUUAAAUGAUUCCACUACCUUCCCUCCACUAUACUUUCAAUUAAUAUAAAUGGUUUCACUAACAAACUUUCAAUUAGUAUAUUUAAAUUGUCCUACUACUAUCUACGAUCCUAAUCUCUCUAUCUCCAAUUAUUCAUCAUGUUCACUAAAUUUUCAAUAUGCAUUUUAAGUGUCCCAUUAAUCAAACUUUCAAUUAGUGCAUUUUAAUGGUCCAACUACCUUCCCUUCACUAUACUUUUAAUUAAUGUAAAUGAUUUCACUACCAAACUUUCAAUUAGUAUAUUUAAAUGGUCAUACUACUAUCUACGAUCCUAAUCUCUCUAUCUCCAAUUUUUCAUCAUAGCCCAUUUUCCUCCUACCGAACUUUUAAUUUUUUAUCACCGAUUUGUUCAUUAAUUUUCUAUCUCUCAUCUUUAGCUAUACACUAUCGCCUCCUUCCCUCGCUCCCUCUCUCUCUCUCACUAAUGUGCGCCCAAUUCCUUCUUCCGCCGCGGUAGGAGAGAUCGUCGUCACCGUCACUAUCACCUUCGCCAGAGAAUGCAUCGUCAGGUUCAUAUCUGCCGCCUACAGUGAGAUACUUUCGGUAGAUGUAUCAAAUAAGAUACACAAAAGAAUAUUUAAUAUUUUAUUGUUAUUAAUUAUUA